This 492-nucleotide ribosomal RNA is filed under the name uncultured bacterium. RNAcentral's name for it is "bacterial SSU rRNA". It matches the Rfam family "Bacterial small subunit ribosomal RNA", at positions 29 to 507 of the family's 1533-position model. The record is from RNAcentral.
AACUAACGCUGGCGGCGCGGUUUUAAGCAUGCAAGUCGGACGGAUUGAAGUGCUUCGGUGCUUUAGAGAGUGGCGAACGGGUGAGUAACACGUAGGUGAUCUACCUCUGGAUGGGGGAUAGCCCAUGGAACAUGGGGUAAUACCGCAUGAAGCCUGUAUCUUACGGGGUAUGGGUUAAAGGUGCAAUUGUGCUGUCUGGAGAUGAGCCUGCGGCCCAUUAGUUAGUUGGUAGGGUAAAGGCCUACCAAGGCGAUGAUGGGUAGCCGGCCUGAGAGGGUGCACGGUCACACUGGGACUGAGACACGGCCCAGACUCCUACGGGAGGCAGCAGCUAAGAAUCUUCCGCAAUGGGCGCAAGCCUGACGGAGCGACGCCGCGUGGACGAAGAAGGCCGAAAGGUUGUAAAGUUCUUUUGCAGAUGAAGAAUAAGGUGGGGAGUGGAAUGUCCCGCUGAUGACGUUAGUCUGCGAAUAAGCCCCGGCCAAUUACGUG